RNAcentral lists this ribosomal RNA (498 nucleotides) under Triticum aestivum (bread wheat). Its description in RNAcentral is "partial small subunit ribosomal RNA". Lineage: Eukaryota; Viridiplantae; Streptophyta; Magnoliopsida; Poales; Poaceae. The record is from RNAcentral.
AUGUGUGUACAUCGGAGCAGGGACUUGGCGAAAAAAAACCCGAAGGCGCUGCUUGUUGGACUUGUGACAGAGGUCAACGGGGAGGUCGGGCAGGAACUCGCCAUGCAGCACGGGAGGCGGGAGAAAAGGCACGGAGGCGCUGCUGGAGAUGGUCGCGGUGCGCCCUACUCGUCCUUCAGGUCACUGGUGGCGGGUCCUGCUUGCCGAGGUCCGACAACCGACGCGCGGAAGCAUGGCGUGCUGCUGGUGAUGCUUGUUGCAGGAACGCACGAGGAGGAAUUAGAGGAGACCAGUUCAGCGGAGAGGAGGAUGCAGGGGAGGCCCAGGCAGCGCACGGGGCUGUUGUUGCUGCUCCAGCAAGCAGACGGCGAGUCAAGGCUCUCGGGACCCAGCGUCCAGAUCGAGUGGGGCGAAGGAGCUGCGGCCGGGAGGCUUGGGCGAUGGGCAGAGAGGCGCGACGAGGCGGAGCAAGGGCCGGCGACGAGGGGGGGCACUUGA